RNAcentral lists this ribosomal RNA (510 nucleotides) under Bacillus cereus. RNAcentral describes it as "partial 23S ribosomal RNA". It matches the Rfam family "Bacterial large subunit ribosomal RNA", at positions 1 to 503 of the family's 2925-position model. Lineage: Bacteria; Bacillati; Bacillota; Bacilli; Caryophanales; Bacillaceae. The record is from RNAcentral.
GGUUAAGUUAGAAAGGGCGCACGGUGGAUGCCUUGACACUAGGAGUCGAUGAAGGACGGGACUAACGCCGAUAUGCUUCGGGGAGCUGUAAGUAAGCUUUGAUCCGAAGAUUUCCGAAUGGGGAAACCCACUAUACGUAAUGGUAUGGUAUCCUUACCUGAAUACAUAGGGUAUGGAAGACAGACCCAGGGAACUGAAACAUCUAAGUACCUGGAGGAAGAGAAAGCAAAUGCGAUUUCCUGAGUAGCGGCGAGCGAAACGGAAUCUAGCCCAAACCAAGAGGCUUGCCUCUUGGGGUUGUAGGACAUUCUAUACGGAGUUACAAAGGAACGAGGUAGACGAAGCGACCUGGAAAGGUCCGUCACAGAGGGUAAUAACCCCGUAGUCGAAACUUCGUUCUCUCUUGAAUGUAUCCUGAGUACGGCGGAACACGUGAAAUUCCGUCGGAAUCUGGGAGGACCAUCUCCCAAGGCUAAAUACUCCCUAGUGAUCGAUAGUGAACCAGUACCG